RNAcentral lists this ribosomal RNA (449 nucleotides) under uncultured bacterium. Its description in RNAcentral is "partial 16S ribosomal RNA". It matches the Rfam family "Bacterial small subunit ribosomal RNA", at positions 29 to 523 of the family's 1533-position model. The record is from RNAcentral.
AACGAACGCUGGCGGCAGGCUUAACACAUGCAAGUCGAGCGCAUCCUUCGGGGUGAGCGGCAGACGGGUGAGUAACGCGUGGGGAUGUGCCUGGUGGUACGGAACAACUCAGGGAAACUUGAGCUAAUACCGUAUAAGCCCUUUUGGGGAAAGAUUUAUCGCCACCAGAUCAACCCGCGUUGGAUUAGCUAGUUGGUGAGGUAACGGCUCACCAAGGCGACGAUCCAUAGCUGGUCUGAGAGGAUGAUCAGCCACACUGGGACUGAGACACGGCCCAGACUCCUACGGGGGGCAGCAGUGGGGAAUAUUGGACAAUGGGCGCAAGCCUGAUCCAGCCAUGCCGCGUGGGUGAUGAAGGCCUUAGGGUUGUAAAGCUCUUUCACUGGGGAAGAUAAUGACGGUACCCAGAGAAGAAGCCCCGGCUAACUUCGUGCCAGCCGCCGCCGUAA